Molecule: ribosomal RNA, 497 nt
Filed under: uncultured bacterium
Lineage: Bacteria
Description: partial 16S ribosomal RNA
Rfam family: Bacterial small subunit ribosomal RNA
Source: RNAcentral
GACGAACGCUGGCGGCGUGCCUAAUACAUGCAAGUUGAGCGAUGAAGAUUGGUGCUUGCCCCAAUUUGAAGAGCAGCGAACGGGUGAGUAACGCGUGGGGAAUCUGCCUUUGAGCGGGGGACAACAUUUGGAAACGAAUGCUAAUACCGCAUAACAACUUUAAACAUAAGUUUUAAGUUUGAAAGAUGCAAUUGCAUCACUCAAAGAUGAUCCCGCGUUGUAUUAGCUAGUUGGUGAGGUAAAGGCUCACCAAGGCGAUGAUACAUAGCCGACCUGAGAGGGUGAUCGGCCACAUUGGGACUGAGACACGGCCCAAACGCCUACGGGAGGCAGCAGUAGGGAAUCUUCGGCAAUGGACGAAAGUCUGACCGAGCAACGCCGCGUGAGUGAAGAAGGUUUUCGGAUCGUAAAACUCGGUUGGUAGAGAAGAACGUUGGUGAGAGUGGAAAGCUCAUCAAGUGACGGUAACUACCCAGAAAGGGACGGCUAACUACGUG